Molecule: long non-coding RNA, 1626 nt
Filed under: Androctonus crassicauda
Lineage: Eukaryota; Metazoa; Arthropoda; Arachnida; Scorpiones; Buthidae
Source: RNAcentral
AAAAUAAUAAAUAUAUUUUUUUAUUAGAUAACAUAUAUAUAUAAAUGUAAUCGAUUGCAUACUUCUACGUAUGCGAACAAUAAAACACGUUUAUCGUCGACAGUUCUAUCUUGAUGCUUUUUUUGUUCAAUAUUUAAAGCCUUUACAAGUAAAUUUGUUAGAUUGUCAUAAGAUCCUUCAACAUAAUUACUGCAAUUAUCGUUUCUUCGUUAUUUCGUCGAAUGUAAAUUGCAUCAUCUUAUUACGAGGUCUGGAUAUUGUCGCGUAAAAGUUUCUUUCUACUCCGUUCGAGCGAACUGCUUUUGUUUUCGGAUGAUAAAGAGUUCUGGAAGUGCGUAAUACUCCACAGGUUCUAGAAGCGUAUAAUGUGCGUAUUUCUUUUAAUUCGCUAGUAAUAAUCGAAUUGUCGACCUAUAUUUUAAAACGUGUUAUUCUUAUCCAUAUCUCGUACUCAUUUUCUAAGUGAAAGCUUUCAAUUAAGAAGCGAUUUAAAGAGACCGAUCUCGUUUUCUAAAUUUAGAGGAUACAAAUGAAUUGGAAAUCUUUUCAAAGAAACUAUGUCAUUGUCGAUUGACGUUCUUAUUGCUCACGAAAGUACUUCUCGAAUUGAUCUGUUAAUUAAUCAAUUUAACUCUUCGAGAUAUCAAUUAAAAGUUAAUCUGAAUGUCACUUCCUAGGAAAUAGUACCAUUGUUAUUACAAUAAUAAUCCACAAUACACAUACUAUGCUCUCGCAUUUUAGUUGCUCCUAUCUAAUUCUGAACAGAAAGAGGUCAGUGUGUGCGUGAUCUCAAAAAAGAGGGAAGGUGCCGAGAAAAACGCUCCACGCAUUUACUCCUUUGUUUUGUCCUUGCUUUGUAACGGACUUGUCAUAGCAGGAAGUAUUCGCUAAUUAGUUGAUGUUAGAUAUUACGAGACCGGAUAUGUGAGCGAAGUGCACCGCCAUAGACAUCAUCUAUUGUACCAUACAAUAUUCACAAAGUAGUUUAGUCUUAUUUACAGAUUACCUGAAAAAUUGUUAUUGGUGCGACGUUUAGCCUAUUAAAAUUUAAAAUAUUUAAAAUGAGAAUUUAAAAACAGAAAAUUAAGAGAAAUCAUUCAGUUGCUUGAAAUAGUUUUUCAGGUCUCUCAAAAAGUUGAUUCGCGCCGAUACGUUUGUUUUUCCAAUGUGAGCAUAUGCGGAAUGAUUUUAAACGGGUCACUCAAUAUCUUGCUACCGAGGACGGACAAACGGACGGUUAGUUUUUUUAACCGUAUUGAUUUUACACAGACGGACUGUUUCUCUCUGUUUUUCUUUUUCGUCGGAUAUCGACUGUUGUCUGGACUAACCAAAAGCGUUCUUUCGUCCGCGGAAUUUUCUCAGCCACUCUACCCCUACAUUGUUUUUAUUUCUUUCUAUUGUGUACAUCUACCUGUGUUUGUCCUCUAAUGAAAACACAGUUACUAGCACGAAUGUGGAAUCAUAAAUACUUCGUUCAGGUAGUUGUAUGAAAUUAUAUAGACCUACUGAUUCUUACGAGUCAAAAGAUCUAAUCAGUUUUUGAACCGACCAAAUUUAAAGCGCAUGUUUUUUUUUCUUUUUAAAAAUCGAUUCUUAAAAGUUGCUAGACGUUGUUUUUACUUUAAU